GUACUGAUUGAAAAGAAAGAAAUUAGCAAUGUACCUGAAAGGAAAGGGAAGAUAAUUAAAUGUUUCAAUACUCAUUAUGUGCCAGGCACAUUCUCAAAUACUUUACAUAUUUUAUCU
Small nuclear RNA from Macaca fascicularis (crab-eating macaque), 117 nucleotides. NCBI's taxonomy places the organism in Eukaryota, Metazoa, Chordata, Mammalia, Primates, Cercopithecidae. The record is from Ensembl.